This 424-nucleotide ribosomal RNA is filed under the name uncultured bacterium. Its description in RNAcentral is "bacterial SSU rRNA". It matches the Rfam family "Bacterial small subunit ribosomal RNA", at positions 355 to 796 of the family's 1533-position model. The record is from RNAcentral.
UGGGGAAUAUUGGACAAUGGGCGCAAGCCUGAUCCAGCAAUGCCGCGUGAGUGAUGAAGGCCUUCGGGUUGUAAAGCUCUUUCGCCCGCGAGGAUGAUGACGAUAGCGGGAGAAGAAGCCCCGGCUAACUUCGUGCCAGCAGCCGCGGUAAUACGAAGGGGGCGAGCGUUGUUCGGAUUUACUGGGCGUAAAGGGCGCGUAGGCGGCGUGAGAAGUCAGGCGUGAAAGCCCCGGGCUCAACCUGGGAACUGCGCUUGGGACUCUCAUGCUCGAGUUCGGGAGAGGAGCGUGGAAUUCCCAGUGUAGAGGUGAAAUUCGUAGAUAUUGGGAAGAACACCGGUGGCGAAGGCGGCGCUCUGGACCGAGACUGACGCUGAGGCGCGAAAGCGUGGGGAGCAAACAGGAUUAGAUACCCCCGUAGUCC